GAUCCGGUCGCCAAGUGGUUAAGGCAAGAGCCAUACAUGCUCUCAUCGUAGGUUCAAAUCCUACCCGGAUCU
This 72-nucleotide transfer RNA is filed under the name Patescibacteria group bacterium. RNAcentral's name for it is "tRNA-Val". It matches the Rfam family "tRNA". Rfam says of the family: Transfer RNA (tRNA) molecules are approximately 80 nucleotides in length. Their secondary structure includes four short double-helical elements and three loops (D, anti-codon, and T loops). Further hydrogen bonds mediate the characteristic L-shaped molecular structure. tRNAs have two regions of fundamental functional importance: the anti-codon, which is responsible for specific mRNA codon recognition, and the 3' end, to which the tRNAs corresponding amino acid is attached (by aminoacyl-tRNA synthetases). tRNAs cope with the degeneracy of the genetic code in two manners: having more than one tRNA (with a specific anti-codon) for a particular amino acid; and 'wobble' base-pairing, i.e. permitting non-standard base-pairing at the 3rd anti-codon position. The record is from RNAcentral. RNAcentral also lists the same sequence under 1 other name.